GCGGGUGGUGUAGUGGCUUGACCGUUGGACUACGACUCUGGAGACUAGGGUUCGAUUCCCAGCUUGGCCA
Non-coding RNA from Phrynosoma platyrhinos (Desert horned lizard), 70 nucleotides. Lineage: Eukaryota; Metazoa; Chordata; Lepidosauria; Squamata; Phrynosomatidae. The record is from the annotation of a GenBank genome assembly.